This is a long non-coding RNA of Homo sapiens (human), 923 nucleotides long. The record is from Ensembl. NCBI's taxonomy places the organism in Eukaryota, Metazoa, Chordata, Mammalia, Primates, Hominidae.
CGGACACGAGCUCUGCGAAUCACUUUAUUGCGCGCGUUUCGGGGAGCGGGCCGUCCAGGGAAGGAAGCAAAGCGGGAACGCACUGCAGGCCCCAUCCAGAAAUAGCAGAUGCCAACGGAAUCCAAGAAUAAAGUCGUUUAUUAUUUUCAGAGCGGCGGGAGUAGGGCUGGGGACCCUAGGGCCGCUCCAGUGGGACUUCCCUGAACCCGGUUGUAGAGGAUGAUGGCGCCUUUGGCCGAGGGGCAGAGUUCAGCCCACAUCUCCGUCUCGAGCAAUCUCUGCACGUUCUGUGGGGAGACAACGAGACCCAGGCAUUCAAGCUUGCCACUUCUCCUGCCAGGGCUGUGCCCAGAAUUCCUGAGCCUCAGAGACCUCUGCACUGUCCUUAGGGAGGCAUGUUAAGGGGCUGAACAUGUCCCUGGACCUUUCCCUUGCACUGAGGGCAAAUCUUGUGACUCUGGAGGGAAUUGUGACCCAGCCAACACCUCCCCUACAAGAUAUGCAUUGCCAGGCCUCUGCAGGCCCCAGCCCUGGCCUCCAAGCAAGAUGGUUUGUCACUCUGCACCUGUGUCUCCACAAAGAAGAUUCCUGUAGACUCGUGGGCCUCGGGUCCCCCACUCAGGUAGUGCUUCCUCACCUGCUCAGAAGUCAGGCUGCACCUGGACAAGAACACAAGGGUGGCUUAGUGGGUGACCAGCCCCUGCGGGGUACCUGUGGAGCCACAGCUGCCUCAGCCCACUCCUCACCACCCACCUUCCCAAGACCCAGGAUCAUGUACCCGAGCCUACUCACUGGACAUAGAACUCGGCACUGGCUCGGCCAGCACUGGUCUCAUUUCGGGCGAUGCCCAACAGCAGGGGCUGGCUCAGGGUGAGCAGCGGCAGGUUCACCUGCGGUGGAGGGUGGGGUGGGGGGAGGUCCCA